This 291-nucleotide ribosomal RNA is filed under the name uncultured bacterium. RNAcentral's name for it is "partial 16S ribosomal RNA". It matches the Rfam family "Bacterial small subunit ribosomal RNA", at positions 62 to 353 of the family's 1533-position model. The record is from RNAcentral.
UCGAACGGCACCCCUCUCCGGAGGGAAGCGAGUGGCGAACGGCUGAGUAACACGUGGAGAACCUGCCCCCUCCCCCGGGAUAGCCGCCCGAAAGGACGGGUAAUACCGGAUACCCCCGGGCGCCGCAUGGCGCCCGGGCUAAAGCCCCGACGGGAGGGGGAUGGCUCCGCGGCCCAUCAGGUAGACGGCGGGGUGACGGCCCACCGUGCCGACAACGGGUAGCCGGGUUGAGAGACCGACCGGCCAGAUUGGGACUGAGACACGGCCCAGACUCCUACGGGAGGCAGCAUG